This is a long non-coding RNA of Vidua chalybeata, 2487 nucleotides long. RefSeq lists it as uncharacterized. The transcript has 2 exons. The record is from RefSeq and is a predicted model, not a curated record. NCBI's taxonomy places the organism in Eukaryota, Metazoa, Chordata, Aves, Passeriformes, Viduidae.
GGUAAUUAAUUAGAAAAAAAAAUUAAUUAAAAGGUAAAAAGAGGGUUUUCUUGGCAUAAUCUAUUGGGGAAAAAUAAAAGGUAAAAUGUGUAGGAGGGGCCCCUAAAAAUUCUGCUGGAUUGAGGGAUAAGAAUGCCCAAGAACAUCCAAGAUCAAACCUGCUGGAUUGAGGGAUUAAUGUUCCAAGAGCAUCCAGGGUUAAGUCAAACCUGCUGGGUUGAGGGAUUAACAUUCCAAGAGCAGCCAGAAUUAAGUUUGCUGGGUUGUUGAGAGCACCCAAGAUUGAGUAAAAAUUUUGCCAGUUUGAAGAUAAGUCUGACAGGAUCUAGAGUUGGGAACCACACAGCUAGAUUGAGGGGUAUCCAAGAACACUGGGACUAGCCAGGGACACCUAAAAGUGUAAUAGGUGUGUUGAAAAAUAAAAGGUACCUUGUUGUUGUGGUUGUUUUGUUAUGUGUAAGAGUAAGUAAAAAUAAAGUUAAGUGAAUGUAGACGAAGGAAAGUAUAUGUAUGCAUCCUGCCCUGUUAAGCAGCCUCACUGUGCUUCCCUGCUGUGACUGACAAACACAAGUUACGAACCCUCAGAACUGAAAAAGUUCAAUCAAAUAUUGCUUCCAUUGAUGACCAUGAUAUUGUCUAUAAUACCUUGUUACAACUUAUGUUAUGUAAGUGUUAAUACCCCUAUCCUACCAGUUCGUAAACCUGAUGGGUCAUACCGGUUAGUACAGGAUCUGCGGGCCAUAAACAAGAUUUAAAAGAUGCCUUCUUUUGCCUUCCUAUCCACGAAGCCAGAAAAUUUUUGCAUUUGAAUGGGAAAAUCCUAAGAGCGGGCGAAGAACUCAACUGACAUGGACCAGACUCCCACAAGGAUUCAAAAACUCACCCACUUUGUUUGGAGAACAACUUGCAAAAGAAUUAGAGACCUGAGAAGCCCCUCCAGAGGAAGGGAAGUUGCUACAGUACGUAGAUGACAUCCUGAUAGCCACACGGACAAGGGAAGCAUGCAUGGCCUGGACGAUAAGCCUCUUGAACUUUUUGGGGCUCCAAGGGUACCGAGUAUCAAAGAAAAAAGCCCAAGUAGUAAAACAGAAAGUAACUUAUCUGGGCUACGAAGUCAGUGCUAGACAACGUACCUUGGGCCAAAGCCGAAGGAGGCAAUAUGCCAGACCCCAAAACCUCAGACUGUAAAGGAACUACGAACUUUCCUGAGGAUGACAGGGUGGUGCAGGUUAUGGAUCUAUAACUAUGGACUGUUUGUUAAGCCCUUCUAUGAACUGAUUGCAACUGAAAGCAGGAACAUCCAAGAGACAAAGGAAGCUACGCAAGCUUUCAACCAGCUGAAAAAAGCCCUCAUGUCAGCUCCAGCCCUGAGAUUGCCGGACGUGAGUAAGCCUUUCCUUUUAUUCUCCCAUGAGAAGCAAGGAAUCGCCUUAGGAAUACUAGCACAGGACCUCGGCCCAUAUCGGAGAGCAGUGGCUUACUUCUCGAAGCAAUUGGAUACAGCAGCUAAAGGGUGGCCUGGGUGCCUCAGAGCUGUUGCAGCAGUCGUACUGAACAUCCAAGAGGCACACAAAUUCACCCUAGGCCAGAAAAGAACUGUGCUAGUGUCUCACACAGUGUCUGCAGUGCUAGAGGUAAAAGGUGGGCAUUGGCUUUCCCCACAACGGCUCCUGAGAUACCAAGCUAUCAUAGUGGAGCAAGAUGAUGUAGAGAUAGUAGUGACUAACAUUGUCAAUCCAGCCUCCUUCCUCAGUAGAAACCAAGGGGAACCAGUGGAACAUGACUGCCUGGAGACCAUUGAAGCCACCUACUCCAGCUGCCCUGACUCGAAGGACACCCCUCUGGAGAAUGCAGAAGUCUCGUUUACUGAUGGAAGCAGUUAUAUCAUCAGUGGAAAACGGCACGCCGGGUAGGCAGUUACAACGUGCAAGGAAGUAAUAUCAUCUGGGCCCCUGCCAACAAAUACCUCUGCACAGAAGGCCGAGAUAAUUGCUCUAACUCGGGCCCUAGAAUUGGCAAGAGGGAAAGAAAUAAACAUCUACACGGACUCGAAGUAUGCAUUUGGAGUAGUGCAUGCUCACAGAGCCAUUUAGAAAGAGAGAGGACUGCUGAACUCUCAAGGGAAAAAUAUUAAAGAUGCAUCAGAAGUACUGCGACUUCUAGAAGCAGUCCAGUUGCCAGAGAAAGUAGCGAUCAUGCACAUUAAGGCACAUCAGAAGAUAAACUCAGAAUUGGAAGAAGGAAACGAGCUGGCAGAUAGGGAAGCAAAAGAAGCAGCAAGAAUUGAGGUCAUAACUGAGGCAGCCCUGAUUCCAGACGGGCAAAUUUCCCCUAAAGGUAAGCCAAGAUACAACAAACUAGAAAAAAAAUUAAUCUAUGAGCAAAAAGGAGACUAUAACCAAGAGGGAUGGGCCACCAUAGAAGGAAAAUUAGUUCUACCCUCCUAUUUAUUAUGGUCCCUAAUAAAGGAAGAACACCAGAAAACCA